This 254-nucleotide ribosomal RNA is filed under the name uncultured bacterium. RNAcentral describes it as "partial 16S ribosomal RNA". It matches the Rfam family "Bacterial small subunit ribosomal RNA", at positions 524 to 776 of the family's 1533-position model. The record is from RNAcentral.
UACGAAGGGGGCUAGCGUUGUUCGGAAUUACUGGGCGUAAAGGGCGCGUAGGCGGUCGUGACAAGUCACUUGUGAAAUCUCCGGGCUUAACUCGGAACGGUCAAGUGAUACUGUCGGACUAGAGUACAGAAGGGGCAACUGGAAUUCUCGGUGUAGCGGUGAAAUGCGUAGAUAUCGAGAGGAACACCUGCGGCGAAGGCGGGUUGCUGGGCUGAUACUGACGCUGAGGAGCGAAAGCGUGGGGAGCGAACAGG